This 497-nucleotide ribosomal RNA is filed under the name uncultured bacterium. Its description in RNAcentral is "partial 16S ribosomal RNA". It matches the Rfam family "Bacterial small subunit ribosomal RNA", at positions 28 to 507 of the family's 1533-position model. The record is from RNAcentral.
GAUGAACGCUGGCGGCGUGCCUAAUACAUGCAAGUCGAGCGAACGGACGCGAAGCUUGCUUCUCUGAUGUUAGCGGCGGACGGGUGAGUAACACGUGGAUAACCUACCUAUAAGACUGGGAUAACUUCGGGAAACCGGGGCUAAUACCGGAUGAUAUUUUGAACCGCAUGGUUCAAAAGUGAAAGACGGUCUUGCUGUCACUUAUAGAUGGAUCCGCGCUGCAUUAGCUAGUUGGUAAGGUAACGGCUUACCAAGGCAACGAUGCAUAGCCGACCUGAGAGGGUGAUCGGCCACACUGGAGCUGAGACACGGUCCAGACUCCUACGGGAGGCAGCAGUAGGGAAUCUUCCGCAAUGGGCGAAAGCCUGACGGAGCAACGCCGCGUGAGUGAUGAAGGUCUUCGGAUCGUAAAACUCUGUUAUUAGGGAAGAACAGAUGUGUAAGUAACUGUGCACAUCUUGACGGUACCUAAUCAGAAAGCCACGGCUAACUACGUG